AUGACUUGGGUUGGAGGAAAGGCAGUACUACUCAACCAGUCUGGUUAGAGCAUUGCUUCUCUUUUCCUGUUCAGGAUGACUCCCCCUGACCCCUGGCUCUGCUGGACUUUCCUUUUCCUCCUGACCUGCCUGCAGGUCCAGCUGGUGUCAGCUGGCUUAAAGGAAAAAAUACCUGUCAGACCCAAGUGGCCAGGCAAGGAAGCCAGCCCUGAGGUUCUCAAGAACUACUGGAGGUCCAUGAGACGCUUUUUGGACUACCAAAAGAGAAGAAAAAGGCAGAGCAGAUCAGUGAGCCAGAACUUCAAGGACCUGCCCUCACCUUUCUUCCCCAACUUAUGGAUUCCGGAAAGACCUUGUCC
Molecule: long non-coding RNA, 359 nt
Organism: Vombatus ursinus (common wombat)
Lineage: Eukaryota; Metazoa; Chordata; Mammalia; Diprotodontia; Vombatidae
Exons: 3
Source: RefSeq, a predicted model, not a curated record